RNAcentral lists this ribosomal RNA (207 nucleotides) under uncultured bacterium. RNAcentral describes it as "partial 16S ribosomal RNA". It matches the Rfam family "Bacterial small subunit ribosomal RNA", at positions 568 to 774 of the family's 1533-position model. The record is from RNAcentral.
CGCGUAGGCGGCUUUAUAAGUCAGAUGUGAAAACCCACGGCUUAACUGUGGAAGUGCAUUUGAAACUGUGAGGCUUGAGUAUCGGAGGGGAGUGUGGAAUUCCCGGUGUAGAGGUGAAAUUCGUAGAGAUCGGGAGGAACACCGGUGGCGAAGGCGACACUCUGGACGAAUACUGACGCUGAGGCGCGAAAGCGUGGGGAGCAAACA